This 820-nucleotide ribosomal RNA is filed under the name uncultured bacterium. Its description in RNAcentral is "bacterial SSU rRNA". It matches the Rfam family "Bacterial small subunit ribosomal RNA", at positions 1 to 865 of the family's 1533-position model. The record is from RNAcentral.
UUCGCCCUUAGAGUUUGAUCCUGGCUCAGAACGAACGCUGGCGGCAGGCUUAACACAUGCAAGUCGAACGCCCCUUUCGGGGGGAGUGGCAGACGGGUGAGUAACACGUGGGAACGUACCUCUUUGUUCGGAAUAACUCAUGGAAACGUGAGCUAAUACCGGAUACGCCCUUUUGGGGAAAGAUUUAUCGCAGAGAGAUCGGCCCGCGUCUGAUUAGCUAGUUGGUGAGGCAAUGGCUCACCAAGGCGACGAUCAGUAGCUGGUCUGAGAGGAUGAUCAGCCACACUGGGACUGAGACACGGCCCAGACUCCUACGGGAGGCAGCAGUGGGGAAUAUUGGACAAUGGGGGCAACCCUGAUCCAGCCAUGCCGCGUGAGUGAUGAAGGCCUUAGGGUUGUAAAGCUCUUUUAUCCGGGAAGAUAAUGACUGUACCGGAAGAAUAAGCCCCGGCUAACUUCGUGCCAGCAGCCGCGGUAAUACGAAGGGGGCUAGCGUUGUUCGGAAUCACUGGGCGUAAAGGGCGCGUAGGCGGACGAUUAAGUCAGGGGUGAAAUCCCGGGGCUCAACCUCGGAAUUGCCCUUGAUACUGGUUGUCUUGAGAUUGGAAGAGGUAAGUGGAAUUGCGAGUGUAGAGGUGAAAUUCGUAGAUAUUCGCAAGAACACCGGUGGCGAAGGCGACUUACUGGCCCAUAUCUGACGCUGAGGCGCGAAAGCGUGGGGAGCAAACAGGAUUAGAUACCCUGGUAGUCCACGCCGUAAACGAUGGAUGCCAGACUGUUGGGGAGCAUGCUCUUCAGUGGCGCAGUCAACACAUUAAGC